RNAcentral lists this ribosomal RNA (687 nucleotides) under Microbacterium natoriense. RNAcentral's name for it is "bacterial SSU rRNA". It matches the Rfam family "Bacterial small subunit ribosomal RNA", at positions 56 to 755 of the family's 1533-position model. The record is from RNAcentral. Lineage: Bacteria; Bacillati; Actinomycetota; Actinomycetes; Micrococcales; Microbacteriaceae.
UGCAAGUCGAACGGUGAAGCAGAGCUUGCUCUGUGGAUCAGUGGCGAACGGGUGAGUAACACGUGAGCAACCUGCCCCUGACUCUGGGAUAAGCGCUGGAAACGGCGUCUAAUACUGGAUACGAGCAACGGCCGCAUGGCCAGUUGUUGGAAAGAUUUUUUGGUUGGGGAUGGGCUCGCGGCCUAUCAGCUUGUUGGUGAGGUAAUGGCUCACCAAGGCGUCGACGGGUAGCCGGCCUGAGAGGGUGACCGGCCACACUGGGACUGAGACACGGCCCAGACUCCUACGGGAGGCAGCAGUGGGGAAUAUUGCACAAUGGGCGGAAGCCUGAUGCAGCAACGCCGCGUGAGGGAUGACGGCCUUCGGGUUGUAAACCUCUUUUAGCAGGGAAGAAGCGAAAGUGACGGUACCUGCAGAAAAAGCGCCGGCUAACUACGUGCCAGCAGCCGCGGUAAUACGUAGGGCGCAAGCGUUAUCCGGAAUUAUUGGGCGUAAAGAGCUCGUAGGCGGUUUGUCGCGUCUGCUGUGAAAUCUGGGGGCUCAACCCCCAGCCUGCAGUGGGUACGGGCAGACUAGAGUGCGGUAGGGGAGAUUGGAAUUCCUGGUGUAGCGGUGGAAUGCGCAGAUAUCAGGAGGAACACCGAUGGCGAAGGCAGAUCUCUGGGCCGUAACUGACGCUGAGGAGCG